UACAGAGGGUGCGAGCGUUAAUCGGAAUUACUGGGCGUAAAGGGCUCGUAGGCGGCCAACUAAGUCACACGUGAAAUCCCCAGGCUUAACCUGGGAACUGCGUGUGAUACUGGAUGGCUUGAAUUCGGGAGAGGGAUGCAGAAUUCCAGGUGUAGCGGUGAAAUGCGUAGAUAUCUGGAGGAAUACCGGUGGCGAAGGCGGCAUCCUGGACCGACAUUGACGCUGAGGAGCGAAAGCUAGGGGAGCAAACGGG
This 253-nucleotide ribosomal RNA is filed under the name uncultured bacterium. RNAcentral's name for it is "partial 16S ribosomal RNA". It matches the Rfam family "Bacterial small subunit ribosomal RNA", at positions 524 to 776 of the family's 1533-position model. The record is from RNAcentral.